This 497-nucleotide ribosomal RNA is filed under the name uncultured bacterium. Its description in RNAcentral is "partial 16S ribosomal RNA". It matches the Rfam family "Bacterial small subunit ribosomal RNA", at positions 28 to 507 of the family's 1533-position model. The record is from RNAcentral.
GAUGAACGCUGGCGGCGUGCCUAAUACAUGCAAGUCGAGCGAACAGAUGAGGAGCUUGCUCCUCUGACGUUAGCGGCGGACGGGUGAGUAACACGUGGAUAACCUACCUAUAAGACUGGGAUAACUUCGGGAAACCGGAGCUAAUACCGGAUAAUAUAUUGAACCGCAUGGUUCAAUAGUGAAAGACGGUUUUGCUGUCACUUAUAGAUGGAUCCGCGCCGCAUUAGCUAGUUGGUAAGGUAACGGCUUACCAAGGCAACGAUGCGUAGCCGACCUGAGAGGGUGGUCGGCCACACUGGAACUGAGAAACGGUCCAGACUCCUACGGGAGGCAGCAGUAGGGAAUCUUCCGCAAUGGACGAAAGCCUGACGGAGCAACGCCGCGUGAGUGAUGAAGGUCUUCGGAUCGUAAAACUCUGUUAGUAGGGAAGAACAAAUGUGUAAGUAACUAUGCACGUCUUGACGGUACCUAAUCAGAAAGCCACGGCUAACUACGUG